GACGUAGGGCGCGAGCGUUGUCCGGAUUUAUUGGGCGUAAAGAGCUCGUAGGCGGUUCAUUGCGUCAAUCGUGAAAUCCUGUGGCUCAACCUCGAACUUGCGGUGGGUACGGGCAGACUAGAGUGUGGUAGGGGAGACUGGAAUUCCUGGUGUAGCGGUGAAAUGCGCAGAUAUCAGGAGGAACACCGAUGGCGAAGGCAGGUCCCUGGGCCACUACUGACGCUGAGAAGCGAAAGCAUGGGGAGCGAACAGG
This 253-nucleotide ribosomal RNA is filed under the name uncultured bacterium. Its description in RNAcentral is "partial 16S ribosomal RNA". It matches the Rfam family "Bacterial small subunit ribosomal RNA", at positions 524 to 776 of the family's 1533-position model. The record is from RNAcentral.